UCCCAAAGUGGCGUUUAGGUUGGUAGAUCGAUCCAUUCUCUUAUUCAUCUUUUCCUUUGCUUUAGAGAGAGAAAAUCUCAUUCCUCACUAGUGUUUCGCAUUUUUGAGUGAUUUAAGUGUGUAAUUGUUGAAAUCUUCAAGUGAUAUUUCAUAUCGAGUAUAUGUUUUGUAUUUUUGAGUGAUUGUUGAACAGAAUCUGAGUGAUUCUGUUGAUCUGUAGAGGUUAAGACAGAACUGAGUGUUCUAGUAUGGUUCUUGGUGAUAGGCAGUUGAUCGAUCUGGGUUCAUUUGUAAAGAUAAGUCUCUAUGGCUUUGUCUUGUUGUGUCUAAAUUGUUUGUAAUUUUGGCUGUCAUAUUUUUGGCUUAUAGUACAACUGAGCUUUGUUCAUUUAUAAUGGAUGCUCAAUAGGGGAUUAGGCGUUAGAAGUAUUCGCUAAACCUCGGGGGGCUUUGGCCAAAAAAUCCUUCGUGUUAAUUUUUAGUUUCUGCAAUCUUCUUGUGUGAUGUGUUGUUGGUUUAUUUGAUUCUUGACUAAUCUUGG
Molecule: long non-coding RNA, 541 nt
Filed under: Olea europaea subsp. europaea
Lineage: Eukaryota; Viridiplantae; Streptophyta; Magnoliopsida; Lamiales; Oleaceae
Source: RNAcentral